UCUCCGUUGGUGAACCAGCGGAGGGAUCAUUACAAGAGUCGCGAGACUCCAACCCACCGUGAACAUACCGUACGUUGCCUCGGCGGGCGGCCCCAGGGCGGGGCCCCCGGCCUGCCUAGCAGGUGCCCGCCGAGGUCACUAGGACUCUAUUCUUACCGUGUCCUCUGAGCUACGUGUUUAAUAAAGUCAAAACUUUCAACAACGGAUCUCUUGGUUCUG
RNAcentral lists this unclassified non-coding RNA (219 nucleotides) under root metagenome. RNAcentral's name for it is "partial contains small subunit ribosomal RNA, internal transcribed spacer 1, and 5.8S ribosomal RNA". The record is from RNAcentral.